This is an RNA transcript of Salvia splendens (bonfire salvia), 3153 nucleotides long. It is a transcript of the gene named putative late blight resistance protein homolog R1A-10, with no coding region annotated. The record is from RefSeq and is a predicted model, not a curated record. Lineage: Eukaryota; Viridiplantae; Streptophyta; Magnoliopsida; Lamiales; Lamiaceae. The transcript is spliced from 6 exons.
UCACAUUCCAUUUUCCCAUUCUUCACAAAUCACUGCUUUCAUCACACACAACUCCAUCACCACUCCACCACCAACUUUGAUAUCAGAGAAAUGACUGCUUAUGGUGCUGUGCUUUCUCUCAAGAAUACAAUUAACAACAUUCUCCGUUGUCCUCGUUUUAGCCUCGUUGGUCGCUCUCAACAAAUCAUCGAUGUCGUGCGCAACGAGUUGGAGCCAUUGAAAAAAAUUCUAGAAAAAUUGGACUACACUAGUCCAAGCAAAAGCAGGAAGAAGGUGAAUGCUUUGGAUGGAAGAAUCAAAGACGCAAUAUGGAAAUUCGAAGACUCAUUGGAAUCCCUUCUCACACAACAGAUUCCUUCCCAUUCCAGAGAUAGUCUCCAUUGAUCUGCAGAGUCUUGCUCAUUCCUUAAUCCAGACGCUCGAGGAUAUGCAGAAGGACUACACUCAUGAAGUGAAGAAUAUGCCUCAGGACGAACCUAUCUCCUCAAUAAUUGGUUUUCAUAGAAACAACUCAAACAUGAUUGGUUUAUCAGACCAAUUCCAACAUGUCAAAACCGAUUUUAUGCAAGGAUAUAUCGGCAAGAAGCGCGUGUACGCGCUUUAUGGAACAGCAGGCGUUGGGAAAACCACUCUCGCUAUGCAAAUCUAUCAAGAUCCGGAAAUCCAGAGCAAAUAUGAGCGUCGUGCAUGGGUCACUGUAGGCAGAGUGCCUCAACCGAUCAGUCAAAUUUCACGAGGCAUUCUUGCUCAACUGUGUGGAAUCUCUGAUCAAGGAGAUGAAGAAAUAGGUGACUGCUUGGAAGAAAGAUUGGUUGAUGGCAAGAAAUGUCUCGUUGUUUUGGACGAUGUCUGGGAGGAAAAAGUAUUCAAUUCCUUGUUAUCAAACAUGAAAAAUGAAUGCAUUCAUGUUUUGCUUACUGGUCGACAUCGAGGCUGGAUGUUAUCGUAUAACCUUUAUUGCUACGAGGUGCGGUUUUUGAACCAAGAAGAAAGUAUGCAUCUGCUAUGUGACAAGGUCUUCGGUGAAGAGAUUUUCCCUCCUCAACUCCAGAAAGCUGCUGCCAAAAUUGCCAAGCAUUGCGAAGGUCUCCCUCUCAUGAUAGUCGCUGUUGCUGACAUCCUAUCGAAAUCCGAGCAGAACAGAGACCCUGUCUACUGGAAUGAAGUGGCGGAAAGGAGAAAUUCAGUGUUCACGGAUGCCUAUAAUCAAAUAUCAAAGGUACUUUUCCCAAGUUACAACUACUUGCCUCAGGGUCUUAAAAUGCCUUUUCUAUUUAUGGGAGUUUUCCCUUCGGAUUAUGACACCCCCUAUUCCAAGAUUAUUAUGAAGCUCGCUGCUGCGGGGUUGUCGGAUGAUUGGGUAUGUUUGGGACUGCUAGGUUCCUUCUACAGUCUUGCUUUGUGCACCUUGAAGAGUGUGGAUAAAACUUCGAACGAGUUUACUGUUGAAGAGUAUAAAACUUGUCGUCUUCAUUCUUCAUGGCGGUACGUGUGUAGAGUAGAGGCUAGUAAGAACAAGUUUUAUCUUGUCUUAAAUAAGUUAAUUGAUGCUGAAGAUCUAAAAGAUCAACGAGGCUUGUGUCUCGAAAAUAACAUUCUAUUUGGCAUCAAAGAGUUUCGCAACUCAGUGACAUUGGAUUGUGCAUCCUCUUCACGUUCGCUCCUUUUCUAUGGUCCUUACCAACAAUAUCCAGUCUGUAUAGAUGUCGGUUUCGUGUUGCUAAGGGAGAUAGAUGCUCUCACACAACGUUUCUAUACUUUCCCAAUGGAAAUUUUGUCGCUAAUUCACCUAAAAUACCUUGCUCUAACUUGCAACGGAGAACUCCCUCCAACCAUAUCCAAACUUUUCAACCUCCGAGCCUUGAUUAUCCAUCCACAUCUGAACAUUAGGCGUCGUGAAGCCCCAUCAUAUGUACCGGUACAAAUAUGGGAUAUGCGAGAAUUAGAGCAUAUUGAGAUAUUGGGAAAGAGCCCUGUUGCUCCAUCUCAUGUUGCUUCUUUGGAAAAGCUCUCAACACUUGUUGGUGUGAAUGCUAGCAUUUGUACGGUCUUGAACCUCUCCAGAAGAAUUCCUAACAUAAAGAAAUUAGGGAUACGGAUCGAGUUAACGCCUUAUGAUGACCAUAACGACGUUUUGAGUUGCUUUGGUUGCAUUUCAACACUUAGAGGUUUGAAGACACUCAAAAUCAGUAUCGCAAAUCCCGUGGUCAAGCACGGUCAUGUUUUCCCGGUGACCCCCGGGUUACUGAAGUUGCCGCGUAAUUUGGAAAAGUUACACUUGAGUGGAAUGGGUUUUCCUUGGGAAUACAUGAAUGUCAUUGGCUCACUGCCAAGUCUUAAAGCACUCAAACUGCGAUCCUACGCAUUUCAAGGUUCGCGUUGGGAAACGCAGAAGGGAAGUUUUAGGAGUCUUGAGUUUCUUCUAAUUGAAGAGAGUGAUUUGGAGCAGUGGAAACCAGGAUAUGAAAGCUUCCCUAAGCUUACAUAUCUAAGCAUGAAGCAUUGCUACAAACUAAAAGAGAUUCAGAAGCCUGCUUCUCUGCAUUUAGAGGCAUUUAAGAUCAUAGAGAUUGAAUUGGAGGACUGCAAUCCUUUAACUUUGACGUGUGCCAGCCAAUUACAACCGGAUCGAUAUAAUAGGCUUCAAGUUAUCGGCUCUUCUUCUUUCUACGAGAAACCGACAACCGUCAAAUUUCAGAGCGAUGGAGACGAAUAUGCCGAUAUGGGAAGAUCCUUCUUUGCUCAUGCUGGUCCACAAGAAGAGGAUUACAAUGAAGAAAUUCUCAAUAUGAUGAAGGAGAUCAGCUCUUUGAGGCUUUGAAUCUGCUGCUGCAAAGUGAUAGUACUCAACUGAGAAUUUCAAGCGGAAGUCUUGGAGACUGCUGGAAAAUCGAAACGGCGGCGUUUCCACACUAGGUAGAGGAAGUCGGAUGUCGGAUGAGCUUCAGCAAUCAGCGGAAUGGGGAAGGAAACGGUGGACCACUUCUCAGUAGAGGUUUCACAUAAUCUUGAGGCAUCUCUCUGAAAUGAAGCUCUUUGAGUUGAGGGAUGUUGGCGAUGCCAAUUGGAUCUCUCAGCUUCGGACAUAGGAUUAUGGAGAGUUUCUGGAGGCCAGGUAAUGCUCCCUUGCCUGUCUUGAUCAUUUGAAGCUGU